AGAGUUUGAUCCUGGCUCAGGACGAACGCUGGCGGCGUGCCUAAUACAUGCAAGUAGAACGCUGAAGAGAGGAGCUUGCUCUUCUUGGAUGAGUUGCGAACGGGUGAGUAACGCGUAGGUAACCUGCCUUGUAGCGGGGGAUAACUAUUGGAAACGAUAGCUAAUACCGCAUAACAAUGGAUGACACAUGUCAUUUAUUUGAAAGGGGCAAUUGUUCCACUACAAGAUGGACCUGCGUUGUAUUAGCUAGUAGGUGAGGUAAUGGCUCACCUAGGCGACGAUACAUAGCCGACCUGAGAGGGUGAUCGGCCACACUGGGACUGAGACACGGCCCAGACUCCUACGGGAGGCAGCAGUAGGGAAUCUUCGGCAAUGGGGGCAACCCUGACCGAGCAACGCCGCGUGAGUGAAGAAGGUUUUCGGAUCGUAAAGCUCUGUUGUAAGUCAAGAACGGGUGUGAGAGUGGAAAGUUCACACUGUGACGGUAGCUUACCAGAAAGGGACGGCUAACUACGUGCCAGCAGCCGCGGUAAUACGUAGGUCCCGAGCGUUGUCCGGAUUUAUUGGGCGUAAAGCGAGCGCAGGCGGUUUGAUAAGUCUGAAGUUAAAGGCUGUGGCUCAACCAUAGUUCGCUUUGGAAACUGUCAAACUUGAGUGCAGAAGGGGAGAGUGGAAUUCCAUGUGUAGCGGUGAAAUGCGUAGAUAUAUGGAGGAACACCGGUGGCGAAAGCGGCUCUCUGGUCUGUAACUGACGCUGAGGCUCGAAAGCGUGGGGAGCGAACAGGAUUAGAUACCCUGGUAGUCCACGCCGUAAACGAUGAGUGCUAGGUGUUGGAUCCUUUCCGGGAUUCAGUGCCGCAGCUAACGCAUUAAGCACUCCGCCUGGGGAGUACGACCGCAAGGUUGAAACUCAAAGGAAUUGACGGGGGCCCGCACAAGCGGUGGAGCAUGUGGUUUAAUUCGAAGCAACGCGAAGAACCUUACCAGGUCUUGACAUCCCGAUGCUAUUUCUAGAGAUAGAAAGUUACUUCGGUACAUCGGUGACAGGUGGUGCAUGGUUGUCGUCAGCUCGUGUCGUGAGAUGUUGGGUUAAGUCCCGCAACGAGCGCAACCCCUAUUGUUAGUUGCCAUCAUUCAGUUGGGCACUCUAGCGAGACUGCCGGUAAUAAACCGGAGGAAGGUGGGGAUGACGUCAAAUCAUCAUGCCCCUUAUGACCUGGGCUACACACGUGCUACAAUGGUUGGUACAACGAGUUGCGAGUCGGUGACGGCGAGCUAAUCUCUUAAAGCCAAUCCCAGUUCGGAUUGUAGGCUGCAACUCGCCUACAUGAAGUCGGAAUCGCUAGUAAUCGCGGAUCAGCACGCCGCGGUGAAUACGUUCCCGGGCCUUGUACACACCGCCCGUCACACCACGAGAGUUUGUAACACCCGAAGUCGGUGAGGUAACCUUUUGGAGCCAGCCGCCUAAGGUGGGACAGAUGAUUGGGGUGAAGUCGUAACAAGGUA
This 1506-nucleotide ribosomal RNA is filed under the name metagenome. RNAcentral describes it as "bacterial SSU rRNA". It matches the Rfam family "Bacterial small subunit ribosomal RNA". The record is from RNAcentral.